This 489-nucleotide ribosomal RNA is filed under the name Microcystis aeruginosa CACIAM 03. Its description in RNAcentral is "partial 23S ribosomal RNA". Lineage: Bacteria; Bacillati; Cyanobacteriota; Cyanophyceae; Chroococcales; Microcystaceae. The record is from RNAcentral.
GGUGGUAAAUUGUCAGCAAGCUGCCAAGGCUGAUUUUGGCGAACCAUUGCAUUAAGAAUAACUAAGAUUUUCCGCACACAAGCAGUCAGAGCCAGUUUUUUUGAUUUACCUCGUCCGACUAGGCGUUCGUAAAAGGUUUUAACACCUGGAUUAUGACGCAUAGCUACCACCGCUCCCAUGUAAAGAGUCGCCCGAAUCUGAGCGCGACCUCCCUGAAUCAUUCGCUUACCUUUAUGUUGACCACUAUCAUGAUUAAUCGGCGCAACACCGACUAAGCGAGAGAUUUGUUUGGCGGUUAAUUGACCGAGUUCUGGUAAGUCGGAGACGAGAGUAGUAGAAAUUUACUUGACCAAUCCCCGGCACGGUUUUGAGUAAAUUUAACUUUCUCGAGCUAUUGUUGGUUAGCUUGGGUCAAUUCCUCAAUUUCUUGAUUGAGUUUUCGAGGCAGUUAUCGAGAUACUCAAGAUGGGCUUCGAUAUCGACCAAAGC